RNAcentral lists this long non-coding RNA (6474 nucleotides) under Homo sapiens (human). RNAcentral's name for it is "HSALNT0328586". The record is from RNAcentral. Lineage: Eukaryota; Metazoa; Chordata; Mammalia; Primates; Hominidae.
AUUACUCAAUCUGGAAAGUGCAAAUACACACAUGAACCUGUUAGCCGAUGGGCCCACUCUGCAUGGGUGGUGGACGACGACCCUGGCUCAGGAUUCUGCAGGAAACAAGUGAUGAUAGAGGUGUCAUUAGGAACUUUAUGGAUAUUUAUGCGCCUCCCUUUCAUUGCCAUUUGGAAACUCCUCACGCAGAAGUCAAGGAAACUCCAAUCCCACUUAAACUUCAUUGCGGAGAAACAGAGUUCUGAAAAAAAAGCAGCUACCAUGGACCUCUCUUUUAAACGCAAGUACACCCACACACAUUCGGAUACCAAGGAAGGAAGGAAAGAAAGAAAGGAAAGAAAAGGGAGGGGAGGAAGGAAGAGCAAAGUCCUCUCUAAAAGUCUCAAUUAUAUAUAUAGCCUCUGAUUGUCACCUCUCCUCCGUCCCACCAUUUUUCGUACUUGUAUUGGGUGGCAGGGACACUUUUCAAGAGUUCUGUGUUCGAUUGUUCACUCUGAGUACCUCUCCACCAUCCUCCAGUCGUUGCCCUCAUUGGGAGAGAUGCUUGCUACUCUGCUAGUACCACGCCUUGGUUCCGGUCUUUACUGUUGGCUGGUAGGUCGGGAGGCACCUCUAGCAUGAGACAGUGUCUGGAAGCCAGGAUUUCCCUCAUCUAUAUGCGCCGGUCCCCAGCUCCCUGGUCGCCAGGGUUUCUCUCCAGUUGAAUUCCGUGUUCCUUCAGGUUGAACAGUAGCUUCAGCGGUUUUUCACGCUCAGAAAUGAUGAGGCCCAAUUCCAAUCUUCCCUCCCGCCGGAAGUAAGAAGGGGAAUUCUGAGUUGCUUGUCGCCUGACAGCUUAAAAUAGCAACGAAAACAGCCAGCAUCUUUGCUUAAAAACCCAAGGUUCCCGCCAGUGUUUACCAUACUUCCUCUAGAGUUUAAGAAGUUAAGAACUUCCGAGAUCUUGAAUUUCCUCUUUGCAGCACAGCGAACGGGGUCGGGUAUAAAAAUGCUCCAAGGAGCAAGUAAUUACGAACGUUUAUUGACACUACAAGUGGCCCACAGGGAGCCUUUCGAGUUUAUUGAUGUCUAGGCAAAUCCAGCCUGCAUUAAUGCAUUUCUGUUAGAUUGACUUCUGUUAGACUCACUUUUCUUCUGGCAAAAACUGCCAGAAUAAAACAGCUUCUUAUUUAAGUUAAAAGGGAUCCGGGGCUGAGGGCAGGGGUCGGGUGGGAGAGGGAUGCAUGGUUAGGAUGCUAAAUUCUCAAGGAUAAACUUUGAUUUUUAAACAGUAGACAACUAUAUUUUAGAUUAUAGGUAAAACAUCACUCUCUGUCAGGGAUAGAGUAAUAUGCAUCGUUUCAUUAAACUCAUUAUUUCUUAAGCAAUGGUUAUGGGGCAGGCAAUGUGUGCGGAGAUGGGAACACAAAGAUGAAUAAAACUUAGCAUCUAGUCAGACACAAAUCCUACUCACUCAAAGGGGGCAUCUUUUAAAAAUAAUAAUUUACAGUAUGGCAACAUGAAUCAGAAACAUCAUUUAAAAUAUAUAUGGUAUCUGAGUAAGCUCCUGGGUUGAAGCAGAUGGGGUGUUUAAGCCUUUUGAAGCCCGGAAGAUGAGUUUCCGGGUGAAGGGGACACACAGACUCCUGUUUUCAAAGCUGACAAGGAAGUAAGCCAAGCAGAGGGAGGAUAGAACAUUGCAGGUGGAAAAAGGAGUAUGCGCAACUCCAGAGAGUAAUAAAACUCUGGUGCUUUGGGGCAACUUUGAAGUGGCUCAGUACUGUUAGAAGGGAAAGUGGUAAGGGAGAGUGCUGGUCCAAAAGUUUCGGUGUACUCAUAAUAUUCUAUGGCUCCAGAGUGUGGAACAGUCUUCUGUAAUGAGAAAGCCACAAGAAAAUCUUCAAGAGGAAAGUAAAGCAGAUUAUUAUCCACAAUGUUGGUGAGCCUCAUCCAAAUUGUUGAAUACCUGAAUGGAACAAAAUUUCCAACCUCUGUGAGCAUGAAGAAAUUUUCUAGCAGACUGCCUUUCAACUUCACCUGCACCAUCAGCUUUCCAGAGUCUCCAUCCUGUCAGCAUUUGGACUGGAACAAUGCCAUUGGCUGUCCUACGCCUCAAACCUCCUGGCCCGUGCUGCAAGAUUCUAACUCACUAGCCUUUGUAAUCAUGUGAGCCAAUUCCUUAAGAGAUAAGAAUCUCUUUCGAGAUAUUAAACAAGACAUUCAAUUGGUUCUUUUACUCUGGAGAACCUAAUACAGCUGUCAUGAAAAACUUGGAUAUUCAAAUUAGAUAAAAGUAUAUUUCAGAAAUGUACCAGGAUCACAUUGUUAGCUUGUCUCUAUGGCUUUAUCCUAAGUCCUUAAGUAUUCUCUGCUUAGACAGCAGGGUUUGCUUAGUGGAGAGAUUGUAUCUCUAACUGUAUUGCCAGGACAGGUUUUUGACUACAUACCACCUAUCUUUCUCAAGAAAGUGAUAAUAAAAGCAAUUUUUUUCAUAUUUGAAAUCCUAGAGUACAACAAUAGCAAAUGGAAAAUGAAGAAAGAGGGAAUUAAAAAUGAGUAAAAGUAUUAACAUUACUUGUUUUAGGAAAAAGUAACAAUAAGUAGAUAAACAAUGGCUAGAUAAGGAAAAAUUUUUAAAGUCACUGUUAAAACUUGAAUUUUCUUCUAAAAUUCUCCUGCUGAACACCUUUCUAGAUGGGUAAAAGAGUGAGAAUAUUAAAUAAAAUUCUAAACUUUUAAAAAUAUAACUGGUUUUAAUUAUCUGACAGGUAACAUACAAAAUUUAUAUGUAAGGACAUUUUUAACUAUAGCAGUUGUUCCCAACAUAUACUUCAAAAGUAGUGUUCGGCCGUCCUAAAACACUAGAAAACUUCUACAGGCCUUUGACCUCUUGUAGAUUAUGUGGAAAACAGUAAUCUAUCUAUUCUGUAUUUUUUUUCAGAAGUAUCCAAAUUUUUUCCUCAGGGAAAAAAAAUACAGGUAAUAAGUUUCUUGAUAAAAUGUUUCUCUUAAAAACUGCAUAGAUUACUUCUACUUUCAGGUAAGGUCUUACUUCUCUCCAUAAAUAAUUGAAAACUUAGAUAAAACAUGUUUUUAGAUACUAGACAACAGUAAAUACUGUGAGCUAAAGAAAUAAAAUAGGUAACUACCUACAAUCAUUCUGACUUUCUGGCCUACAGGAUAUUUAUAAAUCUUGGGGCAGGGAGAGCCAACCCACUAGCUCCCAAGAGCUGUAGCUAACAUUUUAUUUAUUAUUUUUUGAUUUGAGGAGAUGGUGUUUGUAGCAUAAAUCUGAGAUUGCUAGAAUAUUUUGGGACGGAUCACCAAUGAAGAAAGAGUUACUCAGAGAAACAGCUCCAGAAAUCUACAUAACGAAUCAACGAAGUCUUUAGUUGAAUGCCAAUCUGCAUGUUAAGGUGAAACUCCCUGAGGAUAGGCAAAGAAAAUUUCUGAGGAAAGAAUAAUUUCCAGGUACAUAUAAGUCAAAACAAUUUCCACAGGACAAACAGUGUCAUGACUCCUUCCAAGUGCUAGCAAACAAAGUGAAGUAACAUCAUUGAAUACAUGGGCAGUAGUAGAGACGCAAGAUAGGCCCAUGCUCUAGUAAUUGGGCUAAACUAGUCCCAUAAAAUAGAUUAUUCUGUACCAGGGAUCAGCAAAUUAAGGACCAAUCUGAACCACUACUUUCCAGUAACUAAAAUUUUAUUGCAAAAUGGCUUUUCACUUAUUUACAUAUUAUCUAUAGAGACUUCAGUGUUACAACAAUAGAGUGAUAGAAAUCAAACGGUCUGCAAAGCUUUAGAUAAAUACUGUGUGGCUCUUGACAGAAAAAAAAUCCCUUGCUGAUUCCUCCUCUAGACUUGCCCUAAUCAAAGGACUUUCAUGCAACUCAACAGCCUAUCAGAACAAAAUUCAACACUGAUAAAAGUCUGACAACAAAAUUCAGUAAUCAAAUAUUUAACAUUUUCAAUGUCUGUCAUCCAAUCCAGAAUUACCACACAUACAAAGAAGGAGGAUAAAAUACCUCUAUACCCAGGUAAAACAAAUCAAAAAAUAACAUAGAUGAUGACAAAAGUAGAAAACAUUUUUUAAAAUAGGUAUAAUUAUCAUGUGCAGCAUGUGCAAAUAUUUUUUAAAAUGAACAUAAUGAGGAGAGUCAUAGGGAUAUAAAAAAAGAACCAAAGGGAAAUUCUAAAGAUAAAAUUAUGAUACCAAAAAUUAAAAUUAUUCUGAUUGGUAGAUUAGGCCCUGAAAUAGAAAGUCAGUGAAAUUGAAAACAUGGCAACAAAAAUUAAAAUAUAAAAUAAAUAUAAAUAAAUGCACAAAGGUAAAAAACAAGAUAUUAAUGGCCUCAAUAUUAAUAUCAGAGACAAUAUCAAUUGCAACAAAAUACAUGGGGUGGAAUACUAAAAAGAAAGAGAAAGAGAAAAACAAUGUGAAGCAAUUCUUUUUUUUUUUUUUGAGACAGUCUCACUCCAUCGCCUAGGCUGGAGUGCAGUGGCGUAAUCUUGGCUCACUGCAACCUCUGCCUCCCGGGUUCAAGCAAUUCUCCUGCCUCAGUCUCCCAAGUAGCUGGGAUUACAGGCUACUACUACCAUGCUCAGCUAAUAUUUUUUUUUUGUAUUUUUAGUAGAGACAGGGUUUCGCCAUGUUGGCUAGGGUGGUUUUGAACUCCUAACCUCAGGUGAUCCACCCGCCUCGGGAUUACAGGCGUGAGCCACCGUGCCCGGCCCAUAUUUUAAAAAUAUCUAUAUUUUAUACCAAGUCAUCAGACAUUUGAGAACAUAUCCUAUUGAAGUAAAACACAGUAAGGAUGUAUUUAAAGAAUGAGUAUUGAAGAAAUACUCACAGAAUUGAAAAAUCAGAGAAUGUUAAAUAAUUAUAAUAUAUUCAUAUUAAAAAAUAAUAUUCAGUCUUAAAGCAAAUAGUUAAAGCAACUAAACCAGUUGUAAUAGGCAGAUUUCCAAAAAACGGUUAUGUAAGAAAACAAGAUACAAACAUUGUAAUAUCAUUUCAUGUUUUCAAUAUAAAUUAUUUAAAAAUUUCAUAUAUGUAUAUGUAUGUUUACCAAACUAUGUGAGUACUGAGAAAAAUAUGAAAGAAUGCAUGCUUGAUUGUCAUAUCCCAUGGGUGUGUAAUGGGAGUAGUGAAGAAGAUAAAUGGGGUAGUAUAAAAAAUAUAAAACCAUAAUACACUAAAAUGUAAUAUGAAUGUUAUACUUUACAUUUGUUUAAAAUUACAUAUGUGAUUUGUACAACUAAAGUGGUAUAAAAAUUAGAAGCAAAGUUAAAUGAGAAGGAAUUGAUUAAAUGUACAUACAUAUACCCACAGAACGGUAUCAAUACAUGGGUACACAUACACACACAUAUAUAUAUAAUGUUUAUGUUCACUAAAUAAUUAUGUGUCACUUAACGAUGGAUAUACAUUCUGAGAAAUGUGUUGUCAGGCAAUUUUGUCCUUGUGCAAAUAUCAUAGAGUGUAUUUACACAAACCUAGUUCACACUUUGGCUAUCUGGUAUAGACUAUUGCUUCCAGGCUACAAACCUGUACAACAUGCUACUGUUCCAAAUAUUGUAGGCAAUUGUAACUGGAUGUUAAGUAUUUGUGGAUCUUAAUGUAUCUAAACAUAGAAAAGGCACAUACAAAAAUACAGUAUUAUAAUCUUAUGAGACCAUGGUCAUCCAUGUGGUCCAUCAUUGACUGAAGAAUCGUUAGCAUGUCAUGACUGUACAUAUACAGCAUUCAUAUAUUUAAAUACAUGCAUAUAUAUUAUAUAUAUAUGGGGCAUACACAUAAGUAAUAUAUAUUUUCAUACACCUUGCAAUUUUACUGCUUGGAUUUAUUUUCUUAGAAAACAAAAUAAAUAAGAUAGUAUAGAUUUAAAAAUCUAUGGAUAAAAUAAUUCAAAGCAAUAGUACUUUUGUAGUGAAUAACAUAAUAUAGUAUAAAUGUACAAAUACAGUGAUGCAUUACAGAUAUUUUGCGUAUUUUACAGCAUGCAAGUUAUCUCUUUAAAAGAGCUUUAGAAAUGAAUUCAGUAAGUGAAAGAACAAAAUAUUUUUAUAUCAAAUUAUUUUGCCAAAUUUAUACGUUACUACCGCUAGUAACGUAUGAGAUCAUUCAUCUCACCAUUGCAAACAUUGUCAUUAUAAUUCAAAAAAUUGUAUUUACUAUUUGGUUGACUUAAUUUACAUUUUUAAGAAUAGUAUAAAAUGGCUAAAGUGAUGGCAUUUUAAUUAUUUGAUUCAUCUUUUUUGGCUCCACUUAACAAUUGAGGUUCUAUUAAUUAUUUUAUGGAUUUAUGUGGGCUUUUCUAUCAAGCUACGUUCUGAAAUAGUUGCUCAUAAUUUAGUACUGCUUUCUUUUUCUCUUAAUUUUAGUUAAAGCUUCUGACAUACAGUAGUUGUAAAUUAUAUAUUAAAUCUAUUGGUUUUUUCCAUUAUGAUUUUUUUCCUUAUUGUAAUAAAGCUUAAAAUGAAUAUCCUUCCUCUUGAA